Molecule: ribosomal RNA, 273 nt
Filed under: uncultured bacterium
Lineage: Bacteria
Description: partial 16S ribosomal RNA
Rfam family: Bacterial small subunit ribosomal RNA
Source: RNAcentral
UACGUACUGUGCGAACGUUAUUCGGAAUCACUGGGCUUAAAGGGUGUGUAGGCGGCUGGACAAGCAGGGUGUGAAAGGCUUCGGCUCAACCGGGGCAUUGCGCUCUGGACUGUCCGGCUCGAGCAAGACAGGGGUGUGCGGAACUUCCAGUGGAGCGGUGAAAUGUGUUGAUAUUGGAAGGAACGCCGGUGGCGAAAGCGGCACACUGGGUCUUGUCUGACGCUGAGACACGAAAGCCAGGGGAGCGAACGGGAUUAGAAACCCCCGUAGUCC